Molecule: long non-coding RNA, 874 nt
Organism: Chelonus insularis
Lineage: Eukaryota; Metazoa; Arthropoda; Insecta; Hymenoptera; Braconidae
Exons: 4
Source: RefSeq, a predicted model, not a curated record
AGGUUAUAGAAACAGAAAAGAAAUGGUGGAAUGUUAAUAUUCUGGACAAGACUAUGGAAUUGAUGUGAAGAGAAAAGGCUAAAAAGUGGAAAAGCUAGUGAUCGAUUCUUUUCUUACAAGCACACAAGAAGUCAACGAUCAACACACAAAGCGAGAGUCGAUGCCUCCAAGAUUGUUGCCAAUGUACAACAGAGAUGGAAAAAUACUUUGCAGAAGCUUACGUCUCACAUGUAAACGGAAUUGAGGAGGUGAAACGCCGAUUUCAACUUCGACAUCUUUCUCUAUCCACGCAAAGGGGUUAUCGGCACGUUAACCUAAUAAAUGCUCGGCUUGACAAAUUAAUACCAGUGAUUUUUUUCAGUGAAAUCGUUGUCACACUAGUAGAAUUUGUAACACUCUACAAUAAUUACAUGAAAUUUGGAAGAACUAAAAAACUUCAACACUUACGGAAACUUCAGAAGACUACUUGUACAUUAUAAUUUAAGCGGUAUUAAACCCGUUAGAUUAAUAACACAAUUAAGGAGUUUAUCCGGCCUAAAUGUGUCCAAUAACGGAAGAAACAAUUCCGAUAUUAUAAUCAUCAGGAAAAUCCGACGUAAUCUUAAUGAUGAUGAUGAGGAUAAAAAGAUUGAUGAGACUUGAAGUGCUUUGAUACUGAUGAGAAAAAUGAAUUGUAUAUUUUUAGGACAGAGUGAUGACGCGGAAUUGAUGUGGCAAAAUUCUACUGAACAUAUAAUAGAUGCUGUUUUAAGCUAGUUUCUGAUUCUACAUGAAAACAAGAACUUUAUCCUACCAUUUGGGAAGAGAAUUUUUAUUCUUCAUUCCUUUCUUCUGAAUCUUCAGAAAUAUGAGUCAUUUAAAUAUCAUCUCACGC